CACAGGUUUUGAAAUAAACUCCAUAUUAUUGGCCUUUUCAAAGAGUAAAGCAUGGUGGCAUUGACACUGAUAUUCAUGUCGUCAAACUGGACUUCUGCAGGAUGGGGGUUCUGGGAGAGAAGCUGUUAAAGGAACUUCCUGAGGAUGCUGGAGUCAUUUUGUGGAGUUUCCCUUUUCCUUACUGGCCCCGUAGCUGCAUUGCUGGACCUGGAUUAAACCAGGUCUGGGCUUACAAUGUCCACACUGCUAGAGAACCGUCCAGAACAUCUUCUGACCAAUCACAGGCCUGAAUCAGCCUUCUGGUCUCAAGACUUGAAAACCAGCCUUCUCAGAACCACAGAACAGCAUCAACACACUUCAGCUGAUCCAAACAAAAGUAAACAUUUUCCCACUCUCCCUCAAGACCACUUCAAGAAAAGCAAUGCAUUGUAUAAAAUG
Long non-coding RNA from Carassius carassius (crucian carp), 438 nucleotides. RefSeq lists it as uncharacterized. The record is from RefSeq and is a predicted model, not a curated record. The transcript has 3 exons. Lineage: Eukaryota; Metazoa; Chordata; Actinopteri; Cypriniformes; Cyprinidae.